AGAGUCCUUCGGGACUUGAGAGCGGCGCACGGGUGAGUAACGCGUACAUGACCUGCCUUUAAGACCGGGAUAGCCCUGGGAAACUGGGAUUAAUACCGGAUGUGAUAAUAUGUAUAGAGAUAUAUUAUUAAAGUUGAGGCGCUUAGAGAUGGGUGUGCGUUUGAUUAGCUAGUUGGUAGGGUAACGGCCUACCCAGGCGACGAUCAAUAGGGGGCGUGAGAGCGUGACCCCCCACACGGGUACUGAGACACGGACCCGACUCCUACGGGAGGCAGCAGUAAGGAAUAUUGGUCAAUGGACGGAAGUCUGAACCAGCCAUCCCGCGUGCAGGAUGAAGGUCCUAUGGAUUGUAAACUGCUUUUAGCAGAGACGAAACGCCGUCAUUUAUGAUGGUCUGACGGUAUCUGCGGAAUAAGCACCGGCUAGCUCCGUGCCAGCAGCCGCGGUAAUACGGAGGGUGCAAGCGUUAUCCGGAAUCACUGGGUUUAAAGGGUGCGUAGGCGGAUGAUUAAGUCAGUGGUGAAAGCUGGUCGCUUAACGAUCAAACUGCCAUUGAUACUGAUUGUCUUGAAUUGGGUUGAGGUUAGCGGAAUGUGACAUGUAGCGGUGAAAUGCAUAGAUAUGUCAUGGAACACCAAUUGCGAAGGCAGCUAACUGGGCCUUGAUUGACGCUGAGGCACGAAAGCGUGGGUAGCGAACAGGAUUAGAUACCCUGGUAGUCCACGCCCUAAACGAUGCUAACUCGAUGUUUGGACAGUAAGUUUGAGCAUCCAAGG
RNAcentral lists this ribosomal RNA (776 nucleotides) under uncultured Bacteroidota bacterium. RNAcentral describes it as "bacterial SSU rRNA". It matches the Rfam family "Bacterial small subunit ribosomal RNA", at positions 72 to 852 of the family's 1533-position model. Lineage: Bacteria; Pseudomonadati; Bacteroidota. The record is from RNAcentral.